GCAAGUCGAACGGUAACAGGCCCAGCUUGCUGGGUGCUGACGAGUGGCGGACGGGUGAGUAACGCGUAGGAAUCUAUCUUGUAGUGGGGGAUAACUUGGGGAAACUCAAGCUAAUACCGCAUAAGCCUUAAGAGGGAAAGCGGGGGAUCUUCGGACCUCGUGCUAUAAGCUGAGCCUGCGUCAGAUUAGCUUGUUGGUGGGGUAAUGGCCUACCAAGGCGACGAUCUGUAGCUGUUCUGAGAGGGUGAUC
This 250-nucleotide ribosomal RNA is filed under the name uncultured bacterium. RNAcentral's name for it is "partial 16S ribosomal RNA". It matches the Rfam family "Bacterial small subunit ribosomal RNA", at positions 57 to 305 of the family's 1533-position model. The record is from RNAcentral.